RNAcentral lists this ribosomal RNA (446 nucleotides) under uncultured bacterium. RNAcentral describes it as "partial 16S ribosomal RNA". It matches the Rfam family "Bacterial small subunit ribosomal RNA", at positions 338 to 795 of the family's 1533-position model. The record is from RNAcentral.
CCUACGGGUGGCUGCAGUCGAGAAUCAUUCACAAUGGGGGAAACCCUGAUGGUGCGACGCCGCGUGGGGGAAUGAAGGUCUUCGGAUUGUAAACCCCUGUCAUGUGGGAGCAAAUUAAAAAGAUAGUACCACAAGAGGAAGAGACGGCUAACUCUGUGACAGCAGCCGCGGUAAUAUAGAGGUCUCAAGCGUUGUUCGGAAUCACUGGGCGUAAAGCGUGCGUAGGCUGUUUCGUAAGGAGUGUGGGAAAGGCGCGGGCUCAACCCGCGGACGGCUCAUGAUACUGCGAGACUAGAGUGAUGGAGGGGGAACUGGAAUUCUCGGUGUAGCAGUGAAAUGCGUAGAUAUCGAGAGGAACACUCGUGGCGAAGGCGGGUUCCUGGACAUUAACUGACGCUGAGGCACGAAGGCCAGGGGAGCGAAAGGGAUUAGAUACCCCUGUAGUC